This 309-nucleotide long non-coding RNA is filed under the name Ricinus communis (castor bean). RNAcentral's name for it is "long non-coding RNA (RCOM_LNC002943)". Lineage: Eukaryota; Viridiplantae; Streptophyta; Magnoliopsida; Malpighiales; Euphorbiaceae. The record is from RNAcentral.
UUGUGACAGUUACAAGAGUUGCUGAGAUGACAAAAAUCUUGGCAACUUGAGGGCCAUUGGGGGGAAGGUGCUCUGCACUAGGCUAGAAUAUCAUUGCUCAAUCUUGUCGGUGUGAUGAUUACUUUUGAUAAAUAAAUUGUCUCUAAUAUCAAGCUCUAGAACCAAGCUUACCCUUUAGAUGGAUAGAACUUGCAGAAGAUUUCUUCUUUAUCUGUCUACUGGCUUGAUUUGUGGGAGGAACUAGAGCUUAAGUGAAACACUUUGAGAAGUUAAAAUCUGUGAGAAAAAAAGAAGUAAUUAGUCUUACCU